This 465-nucleotide ribosomal RNA is filed under the name uncultured bacterium. Its description in RNAcentral is "partial 16S ribosomal RNA". It matches the Rfam family "Bacterial small subunit ribosomal RNA", at positions 338 to 795 of the family's 1533-position model. The record is from RNAcentral.
CCUACGGGAGGCAGCAGUGGGGAAUAUUGCGCAAUGGGCGAAAGCCUGACGCAGCGACGCCGCGUGAGGGAUGAAGGUCUUCGGAUCGUAAACCUCUGUCAGCAGGGAAGAACGGUCACUGUGCUAAUCAGCAGUGAAUUGACGGUACCUGCAAAGGAAGCACCGGCUAACUCCGUGCCAGCAGCCGCGGUAAUACGGAGGGUGCGAGCGUUAAUCGGAAUUACUGGGCGUAAAGCGCUCGUAGGCGGUAUGUCAAGUCAAGGGUGAAAUCCCCGCGCUCAACGUGGGAUCUGCCUUUGAAACUGGCAAACUGGAGUGUGUGAGAGGUAAGUGGAAUUCCAGGUGUAGGAGUGAAAUGCGUAGAUAUCUGGAAGAACAUCAGUGGCGAAGGCGACUAUCUGGCACAUAACUGACGCUGAGGAGCGAAAGCGUGGGUAGCAAACAGGAUUAGAUACCCGGGUAGUC